UAUGGCAAUGGGUAGAUGUUGGUGAUUUGGACCACUUGAUCUGUUCUUCAGCACUCUGUUGAGAUAUUACUUGGUGGAGUAUCUAACUCUGCCAUCCCUUGCUCUGGAUUCUUACAAGUUCUCUUGUUGCUGGACAAUUUGCAGAAUGUAA
Molecule: long non-coding RNA, 151 nt
Organism: Nanorana parkeri
Lineage: Eukaryota; Metazoa; Chordata; Amphibia; Anura; Dicroglossidae
Exons: 3
Source: RefSeq, a predicted model, not a curated record